Podarcis lilfordi (Lilford's wall lizard) is the source of this 73-nucleotide non-coding RNA. Lineage: Eukaryota; Metazoa; Chordata; Lepidosauria; Squamata; Lacertidae. The record is from the annotation of a GenBank genome assembly.
AUCUGAGUAACUCAGCUGGUAGAGCAUGAGACCCUUAAUCUUAAGGUCAUGGGUUUGAGCCCCACGUUGGGCA